Long non-coding RNA from Alligator mississippiensis (American alligator), 408 nucleotides. RefSeq lists it as uncharacterized. The transcript is spliced from 2 exons. Lineage: Eukaryota; Metazoa; Chordata; Crocodylia; Alligatoridae. The record is from RefSeq and is a predicted model, not a curated record.
AACUCCGGUGCCUUCUACGAGCGGAGUCUGGCAUAAGUGUCUCCUGCCCCGAGUCAUUAUUUACCCAAUGUUUUUCCCGGUGCAUUGCUGUAUAGUAAUUAGGAGCAUAAUGGUCAUGCCAGCGAGGAACGUAAUAAAGGCUAAAUCACCAUCUGCUAACAUAUUAUACAGAUCAGAGAUGCUCCCGAGUUCAGAAGACUCAAGCGAAGAUGGUUCAAGCGGACGGCGAGCGCGCACAGCGGAGAGGCUCUCUUUGUGCCGCGGAGAUCAAGAAUGAGGUGUCAGCAAUGCCAUCGUCUAAGUGACGGGUAUUUCUUCCUCUCCCUCUCUCAUCUUGCACUAAUACAGAGAGGCCUUCGUUGUAAUGUGCUAAAAAAUCUAAAUAAAUCCAUAAGUAUUGCAAGGCAA